This 299-nucleotide signal recognition particle RNA is filed under the name Aotus nancymaae (Ma's night monkey). RNAcentral describes it as "Metazoan signal recognition particle RNA (ENSANAG00000004901.1)". It matches the Rfam family "Metazoan signal recognition particle RNA". Rfam says of the family: The signal recognition particle (SRP) is a universally conserved ribonucleoprotein. It is involved in the co-translational targeting of proteins to membranes. Lineage: Eukaryota; Metazoa; Chordata; Mammalia; Primates; Aotidae. The record is from RNAcentral.
GCCGGGCGCAGUGGCACACACCUGUAGUCCCAGCUACUCCCGAGGCUGAGGUGGGAGGACUGCUCGAGCCCAGGAGUUCUGGACUGUAGUGCGCUAUGCCGAUCGCGUGUCUGCACUAAGUUCGGCAUCAAUAUGGUGAACUACCGGGAGUGGGGGACCACCAGGUUGCCUAAGGAGGGGUGAACCGGCCCAGGUCGGAAACAAAACAGGUCAAAACUCCCGUGCUGAUCAGUAAUGGGAUUGCGCCUGUGAAUAGCCACUGCACUCCAGCCUGGGCAACAUAGCAAGACACUGUCUCU